This 406-nucleotide ribosomal RNA is filed under the name uncultured bacterium. RNAcentral describes it as "partial 16S ribosomal RNA". It matches the Rfam family "Bacterial small subunit ribosomal RNA", at positions 30 to 526 of the family's 1533-position model. The record is from RNAcentral.
AUUGAACGCUGGCGGCAGGCCUAACACAUGCAAGUCGAACGAGUGGCGGACGGGUGAGUAAUGUCUGGGAAACUGCAUGAUGGAGGGAGAUCACUACUGGCAACGGUAGCUAAUACCGCAUACCCUCAGAUGUGCCCAGAUGGGAUUAGCUUGGUGGUGGGGUAACGGCCCACCAAGGCGACGAGCCCUAGCUGGUCUGAGAGGAUGACCAGCUACACUGGAACGGAUACACGGUCCAGACUCCUACGAGAGGCAGCAGUGGGGAAUAUGGCACAAUGGGCGCUAGCCUGAUGCAGCGAUGCCGCGUGUAUGAAGAAGGCCUUCGGGUUGUAAAGUACUUUCAGCGGGGAGGCGUUACCCGCAGAAGAAGCACCGGCUAACUCCGUGCCAGCAGCCGCGGUAAUUC